CUGAGUUGACAAUGUAGCUAGGUUAGCUAGCUAGCUACCAUGCAUCUUUCUCUUUCGCUAAACAUGAAUAAACACGACGUUGUUCUCCAUAAACAUUGGCCUUCUCUGGAGAAAGGUGUCAGACUCAGCAGAGGGAGGCAGCUAACGCUAAAGGAGGAACUCUAAGGAUGAAUUUAAAACAUCAGCGGGCUACCAGUCUUGCCAAGGAAGACAUGAAAACACAUCCAGAGUAUGUACACACUCUUCUUUUCACUGAAGGAAGAGGAUUCGUUACUGGCGUCUUGAGGCUUCUACCUUGACAUGUGCGGUGUCUUGUAAGGGAUUGGGAUGGGCCGAACAUGGUACCUUCAAAGACCUUGGAAGGCUUUUGAUGAGUCCACUUCCUCUUCCUCAUGGAUCAACAGGACUGUGGCCUUUACUUGCUCCGAGGAAGGCAAAGUCCUUCCUUGAACUUGCAAUCAGCUCCCGGAGGUGAGAUUGAUCCAAGUAAAGGACUUGGGCUCAAAACAAUCACAUCACUACAUAUAACACGUGGUUUCAGUGUGUGACUUUUGAUGCUUUGAUUUCAAGGUACUUGGCUCUCUGUGAAAUUAAGACAGUGGUAUUAUCUUUCAUUAAAAUAGAUUCCAUUGCAAUUUAUUUUCAUCCUUAUAAGCCAUCUGGAUAUUGCACGUCUUAGAAUGUAAUUGUGGGAAAUUACAUAUAAGCAUCAGGUUAAUCAUUUAAGACUAGCUAAUUCAGAGUCAGUAGUGUUGAUGAUUCUGGCAAAAGCAUAUGGUGCUUCAUUUCUAAUAACACU
Molecule: long non-coding RNA, 799 nt
Organism: Etheostoma spectabile (orangethroat darter)
Lineage: Eukaryota; Metazoa; Chordata; Actinopteri; Perciformes; Percidae
Exons: 4
Source: RefSeq, a predicted model, not a curated record